UACGUAGGGUGCAAGCGUUAAUCGGAAUUACUGGGCGUAAAGCGUGCGCAGGCGGUUAUGUAAGACAGUUGUGAAAUCCCCGGGCUCAACCUGGGAACUGCAUCUGUGACUGCAUAGCUAGAGUACGGUAGAGGGGGAUGGAAUUCCGCGUGUAGCAGUGAAAUGCGUAGAUAUGCGGAGGAACACCGAUGGCGAAGGCAAUCCCCUGGACCUGUACUGACGCUCAGGCACGAAAGCGUGGGGAGCAAACAGG
RNAcentral lists this ribosomal RNA (253 nucleotides) under uncultured bacterium. Its description in RNAcentral is "partial 16S ribosomal RNA". It matches the Rfam family "Bacterial small subunit ribosomal RNA", at positions 524 to 776 of the family's 1533-position model. The record is from RNAcentral.